AACGCGAAGAACCUUACCUGGGCUCGAAAUGCUAUGGACCAGCUGGUGAAAGCCGGCCUUCCCGCAAGGGACCGUAGUAUAGGUGCUGCAUGGUUGUCGUCAGCUCGUGUCGUGAGAUGUUGGGUUAAGUCCCGCAACGAGCGCAACCCUUGUCCUGUGUUGCCAUCAUUCAGUUGGGAACUCGCAGGAGACCGCCAGGGAUAACCUGGAGGAAGGUGGGGAUGACGUCAAGUCCUCAUGGCCUUUAUGUCCAGGGCUACACACGUGCUACAAUGGACGGUACAAUACGUCGCUAACCCGCGAGGGGGAGCCAAUCGCCAAAAACCGUUCUCAGUUCGGAUUGCAGGCUGCAACUCGCCUGCAUGAAGCUGGAAUCGCUAGUAAUGGCAGAUCAGCACGCUGCCGUGAAUACGUUCCCGGGCCUUGUACACACCGACAUA
RNAcentral lists this ribosomal RNA (440 nucleotides) under uncultured bacterium. RNAcentral describes it as "bacterial SSU rRNA". It matches the Rfam family "Bacterial small subunit ribosomal RNA", at positions 958 to 1397 of the family's 1533-position model. The record is from RNAcentral.